GACGAACGCUGGCGGCGUGCUUAACACAUGCAAGUCGAACGGAAAGGCCCUGCUUUUGUGGGGUGCUCGAUUGGCGAACGGGUGAGUAACACGUGAGUAACCUGCCCUUGACUUUGUGAUAACUUCAGGAAACUGGGUCUAAUACCGGAUAGGAUCUCCUGCUGCAUGGUGUGGGUUGGAAAGUUUCGGCGGUUGGGGAUGGACUCGCGGCUUAUCAACUUGUUGGUGGGGUAGUGGCUUACCAAGGCUUUGACGGGUAGCCGGCCUGAGAGGGUGACCGGCCACAUUGGGACUGAGAUACGGCCCAGAAUCCUACGGGAGGCAGCAGUGGGGAAUAUUGCACAAUGGGCGGAAGCCUGAUGCAGCAACGCCGCGUGCGGGAUGACGGCCUUCGGGCUGUAAACCGCUUUCGCCUGUGACGAAGAGUGAGUGACGGUAAUGGGUAAAGAAGCACCGGCUAACUACGUG
This 468-nucleotide ribosomal RNA is filed under the name uncultured bacterium. RNAcentral describes it as "partial 16S ribosomal RNA". It matches the Rfam family "Bacterial small subunit ribosomal RNA", at positions 28 to 507 of the family's 1533-position model. The record is from RNAcentral.